GACCAACGCUGGCGGCGUGCUUAACACAUGCAAGUCGAACGGUGAAGCGCCUUCCUUUUUGGUGGGUGUGGAUGAGUGGCGAACGGGUGAGUAACACGUGAGUAACCUGCCCCCUUCUUCUGGAUAACCGCAUGAAAGUGUGGCUAAUACGGGAUAUUCUGGGUCUGUCGCAUGAUGGGUCUGGGAAAGAUAUUGUUUCGGUGGGGGAUGGGCUCGCGGCCUAUCAGCUUGUUGGUGGGGUGAUGGCCUACCAAGGCGGUGACGGGUAGCCGGCCUGAGAGGGUGGACGGUCACACUGGGACUGGGACACGACCCAGACUCCCACGGGAGGCAGCAGUGGGGAAUAUUGCACAAUGGGCGCAAGCCUGAUGCAGCGACGCCGCGUGAGGGAUGGAGGCCUUCGGGUUGUGAACCUCUUUCGCCAGUGAAGCAGGCCUGCCUCGUUUGUGGGUGGGUUGACGGUAGCUGGAGAAGAAGCGCCGGCUAACUACGUG
This 494-nucleotide ribosomal RNA is filed under the name uncultured bacterium. RNAcentral's name for it is "partial 16S ribosomal RNA". It matches the Rfam family "Bacterial small subunit ribosomal RNA", at positions 28 to 507 of the family's 1533-position model. The record is from RNAcentral.